AUUAAAAUAACUAUAAUUAAAACAAUGAGGACUAAACAGUACACAAAAAUAAUUGAAAGAAAGGGACUAAAUUGAAAAAUAAAUAAAUGAAGAAAACGAUAAAAAAAAAAAAAAGCAAUAAGAAAAUGAGGACCAAAAUUGGAAACUAAGUAAAAUUAAAUCAAACUCUCAAAGGACAAAAUAAAAAAAAAUAACGAAAAGGAUAAAAAAAAAUAGCAAACAAAAAAAUGAG
RNAcentral lists this long non-coding RNA (232 nucleotides) under Populus trichocarpa (black cottonwood). Its description in RNAcentral is "long non-coding RNA (PTRI_LNC003997)". The record is from RNAcentral. Lineage: Eukaryota; Viridiplantae; Streptophyta; Magnoliopsida; Malpighiales; Salicaceae.